GCGCCGGGCAAAUCCUCAUCACACAUCGCCGUCGUCGGCACCAGGUGAACAGUGCCUAUAAUUGUGUGUGUGUGUAUAUACAUACAUACAUACACACAAACACAUCGUUGAUUGAACUAUAUAACAGUGCUUAUAAUGAUAAUCAAAGCUUUUGCCAUGAAAAAAUGAUAAUCAAAGCUUAUUAUAGCUUUUCCUGUACCAUCGAUCGGGAGCAGACUGUUCAACGCACAGUUAGCAACGACUAACACAGUGCUGAUCCCAUAUCUCGAUCGGUUGCUUUUCUGAAUUAACAAUACCGGUAUGUACUGGUAGCGAUAAGCCUAAUUAAUGUAUGUAUCUAUCUUGUUUUAUCAGGGUCCCAGCUCAUCUUCGUUUCUCCCGAUACUCCCACGGCCAAUCGUUGCAGGUAGGUGAUGAAGAAGCCUGAUGUGAUGCAGGGAAAAGAAAAGGGACUAGUCUCUCACGCGUGAUCCGGCAAGUGACAGUACACAAGGCAGCUAGUAUGAUGUAAGUACGUAUCAAGGAAUUAAUUCAAAUCAUUCAGCCUUUGCAUUGUCAUCUAUCACCCCAACAGUUUGGGAGGCAAACUAGUUACUAAUCUAAGUAUGGUACAACUACUCCGACAUCCCGUUCGCCAUCACCAAACAGAAGAUUAGCCAUGCGUAGUACAUUAAUAACACAUUACACAUGUCCUUUGUUUUGCAGAUCACAGACAAAUAAAUGGCUGAAUUCCUAUCUUUUGGUGGGUUUAUGUCAUGCAACUACCAAUAAAAGCAAGGUGUUGUGUCCCUUUCAUCCUUCUAGCUGGUAUCUUAACUUCCCUCUUCUGAUUGGCUACUACUACUUGACGGUCAAUUUAAUCAUAUUGGAUAAUUGUCUAUGUAGUACUAGUCUAUAU
RNAcentral lists this long non-coding RNA (898 nucleotides) under Setaria viridis. RNAcentral describes it as "long non-coding RNA (SVIR_LNC008432)". The record is from RNAcentral. Lineage: Eukaryota; Viridiplantae; Streptophyta; Magnoliopsida; Poales; Poaceae.